RNAcentral lists this ribosomal RNA (590 nucleotides) under uncultured bacterium. RNAcentral describes it as "bacterial SSU rRNA". It matches the Rfam family "Bacterial small subunit ribosomal RNA", at positions 338 to 946 of the family's 1533-position model. The record is from RNAcentral.
CCUACGGGAGGCAGCAGUGGGGAAUAUUGGACAAUGGGCGAAAGCCUGAUCCAGCAAUGCCGCGUGAGUGAUGAAGGCCUUCGGGUCGUAAAGCUCUUUUACCAGGGAUGAUAAUGACAGUACCUGGAGAAUAAGCUCCGGCUAACUCCGUGCCAGCAGCCGCGGUAAUACGGAGGGAGCUAGCGUUGUUCGGAAUUACUGGGCGUAAAGAGUACGUAGGCGGUUAUUCAAGUCAGAGGUGAAAGCCCGGGGCUCAGCCCCGGAACUGCCUUUGAAACUAGAUAACUAGAGUCUUGGAGAGGUUAGUGGAAUUCCGAGUGUAGAGGUGAAAUUCGUAGAUAUUCGGAAGAACACCAGUGGCGAAGGCGACUAACUGGACAAGUACUGACGCUGAGGUACGAAAGCGUGGGGAGCAAACAGGAUUAGAUACCCUGGUAGUCCACGCCGUAAACGAUGAUAACUAGUUGUUCGGUCACUUGGUGACUGAGUGACGCAGCUAACGCAUUAAGUUAUCCGCCUGGGGAGUACGGUCGCAAGAUUAAAACUUAAAGGAAUUGACGGNUGAGAGNGCGACGACGACACGAGGAGAG